CCUACGGGUGGCAGCAGUGAGGAAUAUUGGUCAAUGGCCGUAAGGCUGAACCAGCCAAGUCGCGUGAAGGUAGAUGGAUUAAUGGUGUGUAAACUCUUUUUAUAGGGGAAUAAGGUUAUCCACGUUGGGAUAUUUGCAUUUACCCUAUGAUUAGGCAUCGGCUAACUCGGUGCCAGCAGACGCGUUAAUACGGAGGAUGCGGGCGUUAUCCGGAUUGAUGGGGUUUAAAGGGUGAGUAGGUUGUUUUUUAAGUAGGCGGUGAAAGUUUGUGGAUAAAGGAGAAAAUUGCCGUUGAAACUGGAAGACUUGAGUGUGUAUGCGGGAGGAGGAAUGCGUGGUGUAGCGGUGAAAUGCAUAGAUAUCACGCAGAACUCCGAUUGCGAAGGCAGCUUACUAAGCCAUAAUUGACACUGAAGCACGAAAGCGUGGGGAUCAAACAGGAUUAGAUACCCUUGUAGUC
Molecule: ribosomal RNA, 460 nt
Filed under: uncultured bacterium
Lineage: Bacteria
Description: partial 16S ribosomal RNA
Rfam family: Bacterial small subunit ribosomal RNA
Source: RNAcentral